CUGGCGACGAGUGGCGAACGGGUGAGUAACGCAUCGGAACGUGCCCAGUAGUGGGGGAUAGCCCGGCGAAAGCCGGAUUAAUACCGCAUACGACCUACGGGUGAAAGCGGGGGAUCGCAAGACCUCGCGCUAUUGGAGCGGCCGAUGUCAGAUUAGGUAGUUGGUGGGGUAAAGGCCUACCAAGCCGACGAUCUGUAGCUGGUCUGAGAGGACGACCAGCCACACUGGGACUGAGACACGGCCCAGACUCCUACGGGAGGCAGCAGUGGGGAAUUUUGGACAAUGGGCGCAAGCCUGAUCCAGCCAUGCCGCGUGCGGGAUGAAGGCCUUCGGGUUGUAAACCGCUUUUGUCAGGGAAGAAACGCUCUGGGCUAAUACCCCGGGGUAAUGACGGUACCUGAAGAAUAAGCACCGGCUAACUACGUGCCAGCAGCCGCGGUAAUACGUAGGGUGCAAGCGUUAAUCGGAAUUACUGGGCGUAAAGCGUGCGCAGGCGGUCUUGUAAGACAGAGGUGAAAUCCCCGGGCUCAACCUGGGAACUGCCUUUGUGACUGCAAGGCUUGAGUGCGGCAGAGGGGGAUGGAAUUCCGCGUGUAGCAGUGAAAUGCGUAGAUAUGCGGAGGAACACCGAUGGCGAAGGCAAUCCCCUGGGCCUGCACUGACGCUCAUGCACGAAAGCGUGGGGAGCAAACAGGAUUAGAUAC
This 704-nucleotide ribosomal RNA is filed under the name uncultured Ideonella sp. RNAcentral describes it as "bacterial SSU rRNA". It matches the Rfam family "Bacterial small subunit ribosomal RNA", at positions 85 to 785 of the family's 1533-position model. The record is from RNAcentral. Lineage: Bacteria; Pseudomonadati; Pseudomonadota; Betaproteobacteria; Burkholderiales; Sphaerotilaceae.